Molecule: ribosomal RNA, 257 nt
Filed under: uncultured bacterium
Lineage: Bacteria
Description: partial 16S ribosomal RNA
Rfam family: Bacterial small subunit ribosomal RNA
Source: RNAcentral
CGGCGACGGGUGAGUAACGCGUGGGCAACCUGCCUUACACAGGGGGAUAACAGUUAGAAAUGACUGCUAAUACCGCAUAAGACCACAGGACUGCAUGGUCCGGUGGUAAAAACUCCGGUGGUGUAAGAUGGGCCCGCGUCUGAUUAGGUAGUUGGCGGGGUAACGGCCCACCAAGCCGACGAUCAGUAGCCGACCUGAGAGGGUGACCGGCCACAUUGGGACUGAGACACGGCCCAGACUCCUACGGAAGGCAGCAG